RNAcentral lists this ribosomal RNA (484 nucleotides) under uncultured bacterium. RNAcentral describes it as "partial 16S ribosomal RNA". It matches the Rfam family "Bacterial small subunit ribosomal RNA", at positions 30 to 507 of the family's 1533-position model. The record is from RNAcentral.
AGUGAAUGCUGGCGGCAGGCCUAACACAUGCAAGUCGAGCGGCAGCGGGUCCUUCGGGAUGCCGGCGAGCGGCGGACGGGUGAGGAAUGCAUCGGAAUCUGCCCUGUCGUGGGGGAUAACCUAGGGAAACUUAGGCUAAUACCGCAUACGACCCACGGGUGAAAGCGGGGGAUCGCAAGACCUCGCGCGAUAGGAUGAGCCGAUGUCCGAUUAGCUAGUUGGCGGGGUAAAGGCCCACCAAGGCGACGAUCGGUAGCUGGUCUGAGAGGAUGAUCAGCCACACUGGGACUGAGACACGGCCCAGACUCCUACGGGAGGCAGCAGUGGGGAAUAUUGGACAAUGGGCGCAAGCCUGAUCCAGCCAUGCCGCGUGGGUGAAGAAGGCCUUCGGGUUGUAAAGCCCUUUUGUCCGGGAAGAAAUCGUCUGGGCUAAUACCCCGGGCGGAUGACGGUACCGGAAGAAUAAGCACCGGCUAACUUCGUG